AUUGAACGCUGGCGGCAGGCCUAACACAUGCCAGUCGAGCGGAUGAAGGGAGCUUGCUCCUGGAUUCAGCGGCGGACGGGUGAGUAAUGCCUAGGAAUCUGCCUGGUAGUGGGGGAUAACGUCCGGAAACGGGCGCUAAUACCGCAUACGUCCUGAGGGAGAAAGUGGGGGAUCUUCGGACCUCACGCUAUCAGAUGAGCCUAGGUCGGAUUAGCUAGUUGGUGGGGUAAAGGCCUACCAAGGCGACGAUCCGUAACUGGUCUGAGAGGAUGAUCAGUCACACUGGAACUGAGACACAGUCCAGACUCCUACGGGAGGCAGCAGUGGGGAAUAUUGGACAAUGGGCGAAAGCCUGAUCCAGCCAUGCCGCGUGUGUGAAGAAGGUCUUCGGAUUGUAAAGCACUUUAAGUUGGGAGGAAGGGCAGUAAGUUAAUACCUUGCUGUUUUGACGUUACCAACAGAAUAAGCACCGGCUAACUUCGUG
This 484-nucleotide ribosomal RNA is filed under the name uncultured bacterium. Its description in RNAcentral is "partial 16S ribosomal RNA". It matches the Rfam family "Bacterial small subunit ribosomal RNA", at positions 30 to 507 of the family's 1533-position model. The record is from RNAcentral.